RNAcentral lists this long non-coding RNA (3337 nucleotides) under Cairina moschata (Muscovy duck). RNAcentral's name for it is "domestica (muscovy Duck (domestic type)) lncRNA (ENSCMMG00000014214.1)". Lineage: Eukaryota; Metazoa; Chordata; Aves; Anseriformes; Anatidae. The record is from RNAcentral.
CCUGCCCCGCGCUCUGGAGUCAGGCUCUCAGGGUGGCACUCCCAGGGCUCGAUUAUGAAACACCCGGGACGAGACCGAGCCACCGCUGAUCUGAAAAGCCAAAGGGCCAGGAGCCCCGCUGGAAACCCUCCAAACGCCCCCGUGCUGCCUUCUGCUGCUAGCUGGGGCUUCGCCUCGAGCGGCUCUACCCAAAGGCAUCUGCAAGGAGACAACGUCGCCGCUCCCUGCGGGCAGGCAGCCAGCUCGGAUUGCUUCCUCGGCCACCGCAGCCGGCAAUUAAACCCCGGCGAUCGCCAGCAACCCCUGCCUGACCCAGCUGCUGUGCCGAAGCGCCCCGACCUGGCAUUAUCACGGCUGCUUUUGUGCAGCAAAUAGCAGCUCCAGAAACGCCGUGAUGUAUGGGAACACCGCAGCGCCCACCUCUCUUGCCUGUGCUCCCUCAUGCAAGACUGAAGACACGGCGUGACUUUCCAUUCCCUUCUUAUCUCUGUCCCCAGAGGACGUCGUUAUUUCUGCUCAGACUAUUCAAGCACAAAUGUUUGAUGGUGAAUAAUAUUUUUGAUAGUUUAAUUACCUUUUGUUGCCUAAUUAAAACUUGGCCUCGUCAUAAUGUCAGCCAGUUUCAGAAGGGAACGUGGUGAUGGUGAAUUGCAUCGAGUGCUUUCCCUGGCAGAAGUGGUCACAGCACCUUUUUAAGUGUUCAGGAGAAAGCUGGGGGAGCCAGCAGAGCUGCGGAGGAGCCCUCGUGCAUCCCCAGCCGGGCAGGGCGAUCCCAUCCCACGGCUCAGGUGCCCGAUGCAGCGGCGCAGCGGAGGCAGAGCGAUGGUCUCUGGAAUUGCUCCUUCUGGUGCAGUUGGUGAACACAAGCGGCAGCAGGGAUGGCCGUUAAUCAUUCUGGUUGUUUUCCACAUUGCCUCUUGCUGCUUACUAGUGCAGCUUGAAGCAGUGCAUUAAGGAGCAGGGAUGCAUCUCCAGCCUCGGUGCGGAUGCUGCAAGGGAAUGCCCAGGGCACCCUGCCUGGUUAUGCCCCUGCUUGGACUGGUACAAGCGCUGGGGGCAGAGGGGAAAAGCUGCCCCAGAGCCCCCCUAAAGCUCAGCCUGCUCCUGGAGAGGUGUGGCAAGCUUUUGCAAACUUGGUACACCCAGAGGAGAGAACUAGUGGAGGUACGAGUCUGGUUCCCUAAAUACUUCCCAGCACGCUUCACCUGCUGUGCAACUCUGAACUUACUGUUUGCUAAGGGGGGGCCUUUUAGUGUAAGAAAAGCAGAUGGGAGCUGACAACGAGGGGUCUUGUCUUAGCCGUGCUGGUGUCCCCAAAGCACUGACCCUAGGCUGAGAGCAGUGGUGGCCCAGGGGGCAGAGAACAUCCCCUGCCAGCACAUCAUGCUGGGAGAACGCCCGCCUUGUCAGCUCCAAUUUUCUUAAUUUAUGGUGAGAAUUGCUUGCAUUUAUUUAUCCCUUGUGGUCCUUUGGGCACCUUAGGGUUGCUCACCAAUGAAUCCCCGCACAACCUCAUUAGGGUGGUGCUCCUGUUCCCGAUUUACCUCCAGGUAGCCCUGCUGCAGGAAGCCAUCUGAAGACAUUUGGGAGAGCGGAAGGCGGCGAGUGCAGGUGGGGCGCAGAUUUCCUCUCCCCCCUUGCAGCCACAUGAGCAAUCGCACUCCAGGUAACGCUGCCAGCAGAGCAAGCAGCAGGAGAUGAGCUCGCUGCUUGGCUAUUACACAAGCAAACCACCAAGAGCUAGAGCCCAGCUGGAUCCAUCCCCAGCACAUGCAUUAUCCCCUACCAGCACUGCCGAGGAAUGAGGAGGGUUUGUGGUUUGCAUCCCAUGGAGGCAACUAAGGUAAUCAAUGCCUAAUAUUCCUAAUUCCCAAACGAUGUGUGUUUCUGGAAAUAUAUAUUUUUUUAAUUAAAAAAAUUAGUUUAAUAAUCACGUGUGAGCAUUCCCCUCAAGGGGUACAUAGCAAGUGCUGGCCAUGCAUACCAGCAGAGAUCCUGCAAUUACCAGGUUUUCCACAAGCUGAAGGACAGCAGGAUGAGCGUGCCUCCGUCCCGUUGUGCUGUUUUGCACCAUUAUCUCCAAGUGAUGGAGUUAGUGUAGGACGCACCGAUAAAUCUGCUUUUGACUUGUUACUCUCUGUGAUAUCAUCCAUCAUCCUGCGUGGCAGAGCUGUGCAAAAUUAAACAUUUAAAUCUUACACAGAUGGCAGGAGAAAUUGGCUGCUUGGGAGGAAGGAGCACCAGACAGGAGCCAGGCUUUCUUGGCUGCGGCAGGGGACGCACACAGGGCCCUGUGCUCCAGCCCAGCGGCCCCGUGGCACGGUUAAAUUGAUUGAACGAUAUCAGUCAGCAUCCACAGAAAUGUCAGGAGGUACUUUAGCACAUUCAGGCCAUGCACGAGUGUAUCAUAUUCUGACCUCUGUUAACUGUAGCAUUGAUUAAUUCAGGGUUUCCCUCAGCCAGGGGAAUACACAGCGCACUGUUUAUAAACGCACACAAACACUACACCUAUGUAGGACACACGCAAACACGAACCCAGGAGUCACACGGAUGCCCAGAGGGGCUGCAGCCUCGCACCUGGGGAGCUGGGGAAUUGAAUAGCCCUGCGAUGCCUGUUAGCGCUGCGCAUUCUGCUGCCUGUUCUUCAGCUUCAGGAAAUAAUUAGCUUUAUUUCCAGUCUGCUACCAAAAAAAUGCACAUCCCAGUGACCUUCAAAACCGCUGAACAUUACACUGCAAAAUGUAUGCGUUGUACAUGCUGCUAGAGAAUGAUGAGUAGGAAAUACACUUUUUUAAGCAAGUAUUGAAGAGAACGCCAUUUCUUACAAGCCCCACCAACAUUUCGGUUCCAGCUGCUGCUACCCUGCUGGCUAGCACCAAGCAGCACGAGGAGAGCAGCUUCUUCGCUGGGGUUUUGUAGUAGCCCUUCUCCAAUGUGACUUCCUGGAAAUUGUCACAAGGAAUGGCUUUGAAGCGUACAUUAGAAUAAUACCCAGAUAAUAAUGGCAAAAACAUGGUUCAGAAAUGAGAAGGAGAGCAUUAUGAAGCCUAAGUGGCGUUUUCUUGCCCAUUACUGCAAUCAUCAUCGCUGCAGAGACAUUUAAAUAUUUUAGGAAACAGAAGGGCCUUCUUGGUCGGCAGCGCGAGGCUGGCGUUAAUGGGUUUCGGUUUGCUCUGCCUCCCCUCCGAGUGACUGCGUGGCGCUGGUGCUGUUUAGCAACACGAUCAGGUCAGCGACGGCAACUCGCUGCGCUUCUCCUGCUGCUUUCGCACGCUCCCGUUGCAGGGAGCCAGAACCUGCGGGCACGGUGAGGGGCACCUGGGCUUGCUCCUGCCUG